RNAcentral lists this ribosomal RNA (488 nucleotides) under uncultured bacterium. RNAcentral describes it as "partial 16S ribosomal RNA". It matches the Rfam family "Bacterial small subunit ribosomal RNA", at positions 28 to 507 of the family's 1533-position model. The record is from RNAcentral.
GACGAACGCUGGCGGCGUGCUUAACACAUGCAAGUCGAACGGAAACGCCCUGCUUUUGUGGGGUUCUCGAUUGGCGAACGGGUGAGUAACACGUGAGUAACCUGCCCUUGACUUUGGGAUAACUUCAUGAAACUGGGGCUAAUACCAUAUAGGAGCUCCUGCUGCAUUGUGGGGGUUGGAUAGUUUCAGCGUUUGGGGAUGGACGCGCGGCUUAUCAGCUUGUUGGUGGGGUAGUGUCCUACCAAGGCGUUGACCGGUAGCCGGCCUGAGAGGGUGAUCGGCGACACUGGAACUGAGACACGGUCCAGACUCCUACGGGAGGCAGCAGUGGGGAAUAUUGGACAAUGGGCGCAAGCCUGAUCCAGCCAUACCGCGUGGGUGAAGAAGGCCUUCGGGUUGUAAAGCCCUUUUGUUGGGAAAGAAAAGCAGCAGGUUAAUACCCCGCUGUUCUGACGGUACCCAAAGAAUAAGCACCGGCUAACUUCGUG